UACAGAGGGGGCAAGCGUUGUUCGGAAUUACUGGGCGUAAAGGGCGCGUAGGCGGCCUGUUAAGUCGAACGUGAAAUCCCCGGGCUCAACCUGGGAACUGCAUCCGAUACUGGAUGGCUUGAAUUCGGGAGAGGGAUGCAGAAUUCCAGGUGUAGCGGUGAAAUGCGUAGAUAUCUGGAGGAAUACCGGUGGCGAAGGCGGCAUCCUGGACCGACAUUGACGCUGAGGAGCGAAAGCCAGGGGAGCAAACGGG
RNAcentral lists this ribosomal RNA (253 nucleotides) under uncultured bacterium. Its description in RNAcentral is "partial 16S ribosomal RNA". It matches the Rfam family "Bacterial small subunit ribosomal RNA", at positions 524 to 776 of the family's 1533-position model. The record is from RNAcentral.